Molecule: ribosomal RNA, 253 nt
Filed under: uncultured bacterium
Lineage: Bacteria
Description: partial 16S ribosomal RNA
Rfam family: Bacterial small subunit ribosomal RNA
Source: RNAcentral
UACGUAGGUGGCAAGCGUUAUCCGGAAUUAUUGGGCGUAAAGCGCGCGCAGGCGGUUUCUUAAGUCUGAUGUGAAAGCCCACGGCUCAACCGUGGAGGGUCAUUGGAAACUGGGGAACUUGAGUGCAGAAGAGAAAAGCGGAAUUCCACGUGUAGCGGUGAAAUGCGUAGAUAUUGGGAGGAACACCAGUGGCGAAGGCGGCUCACUGGACCGGAACUGACGCUGAGGCGCGAAAGCGUGGGGAGCAAACGGG